GUUAGCACGUUUUUCCAUACAAAAAAAAUCUGAAAUUUGCCAUGAGAUUUUUGUGAAAUUUUCAAAAACCGGUUUUCGCAUACAAACGCAUGCUUUUUAAUUGAACUGUCAGCCAACUAUUGAGCGUUGAACUGUUGAAUUAUGACUGUAAUCACAUUUCUUCACGCGAAAAACGAGCCAUGCCAUAGGCUUAUUGUUAUACUAAUUUGAAUUCAGCUACUCCAUAUCCAUUUUAUACGAUACGAUUUUAUUAUUUUUAAGUGCAAUCUAAAACCUUCUAUUGAUUCUGGACAAUGUUCUACCCAUCCAAGGGUUAACAAUGUCCGUUUGCAAGAGACGCGCACAGCAGCUUGUGUAACUUUCAAGUGGAAGGCGGUACAGUUGACUGCAUCUCUUUCGCUCGCGUACCUUUUCCCGCUUCUAUCUAUCUCACCACUCGGAUCUUUUUUUUUCUCUCUCCUCCUACCCCAUGGAGCGAUGGAAUAGUAGGCUGGCUGGCUGCAAUCAUCAUCAUCAUUAUCAUUUAUGUUUCCUCGCACAGUUGCGGUGAUUGCAGCCCUUGUGUGCUCUCUUCUGUGUGCGUGCGCGUUUGGGGUGGGUUUUUGUCUUCCUUAUUCGUCCACUGCCAUUCGUUAUACACCACACCUUCGAAUCGAGCGAGGUGUUGUAAAACUUUACGACUGUGUGAAACGUAAAAUCAAAAGUGUGUGGCCAGCGUAAUAAAAAUGAACCGACUAUGUGGUGCGGUUAUACAAAUUAAUGGGGUUUGAGUCUGCAAUCGUGUCAUAAAACCACUUUGUUUAUUACAGUUUUAUGAUUUACGUUUUAAAAAUAUUAAAUCAAAAGGCACUUAAAUGACACAUAGAGUGGAAGAUAGUGAGCCGGACUGAAUCAGUAGGAUGGAAAAAUGUACCAGUGUCAACUAUUCAGUGACAAUUAUCAUCCCUUAUUUGAUAAACUUUCGACACUUAGACAAAGCUCAACCCUCAACUUCAGCUCAGCACACAGGGCGUACCCGUUUCGGGCGCGUGUGCCCGCCUGAUUACCGCCCGAAUCCAACUGGCAGCUCGUAAAGCCAAUUCGAAGCGGCCGAGCGAUAACAGACAGCCGGACGACGACGACAACGCACAAUCGUAACCACAAGGGUUGUGACUUUUUUUCGUGCCUCUCUUUGGAUCCUCCCCUACCUAUCCCCUGUAUUGUGUAUUUUGCCUUUUACGCAAACGACAAAUCCGGACUACGGGGUACGGAGACAACUCGCCGGAUGACGUAGCGAAUGGUGACCACCUUUCUUGCGUGGCAAUGGGAUUGCUUUGCGGAGAAAAAUUGCCACGAACCGGGGUUAAUUUUUUCCACCCCCUUUGGGCUCGGCCCGUCCGGCGAUACGCGUGCGGCAGUAGUCUACCAUCAGACAUGUCUGUUUUGUGGCCACGGCCCCCUUAAUAUGUGGGCGUGUAUCGAACGGCGACCGAAUUGAGGCAGUCCCACUUUGCUUUGAAGAGUAACAGGCGAACAGGGUCUCGUGGCGGCAACCCGAGCGUAGCCCGAACAGCACAACAGAUACCCGCGCCACUUUUCAUUCGUCUGUGCUUGCUAUGAUUUGGAAGGUUGAUACGGAGGGGUGGUUUUUAUGAACACUAAUCUACCUAGAAUGGUGGGGCAUGCUUUACAAUGGUAGUUAAGUUGUGUUGUACUAUUUACAAUUUACAAUUGUAUUACUUUAAAUCCAUUGAAGUGCAAAAUCAAAAUGCAAAAACUGGCCAAAAUAAGCUGAUUGGCAGAGUAGCGAACUUAGCCAACGUGUUAUUCGAAUUGAAUGAUCAUUAAAUAUUGUUUGUAAAACGAUGUAAAAGUAAUCAAAAACGGCAAUUAUAUCAAGUAUCAAACAGAUAUUACAAACAAUUCGUUAACUUUUCCAUGCCAUUUCAUUUGACCCUAAAAUGAAUUAUUCCAUUUCAAUCUCGUCAUGUCGUGUCAUGUGGUCCAUGUAGCUGUUUGUUUAACGGUCCUACAAUUAAUACAAAGAACCCUUAGCAGGAGGUAUAACACAAGAAAUUCAAACAGACACCACAUUUUCCAUACCAAUCCGACCGGCGACCAACCAGAUGUGUUUUGUUUCCUCCUCCUCUCCUUUUAAGCCACCAAUCCCUCGUUUCUCGCUACAUAGUAUCGUUCCCCUCUGCCUGCGUCACCGAAACAUAGAAAAGAAACCCGAAAAGCAUUGCACUCUUCUGACUGCGCAUGAUCCGUACCGCGCAAUGAUAUUUCUAUUCAACAUUUUGGCGCGAAACGGAUGGAAAACUCACGACGAUUUUUCACAUGUGUCUUCGUGUCCUGUGUGUGCUAUGUGUAAAGGCAACCCACCCGUCAGCAUGGGCGCCGCGGCAUAAAGGAAUCGAUGGAAAAUUCUCUCUUGAAACAAACAGCGCCUCCGCGCAAAAGACACGGGAACAGGAACCGAUAUCCCGCGCCAGCACAGCCCGGGUCCAGGAAAAUCUUUUCCUUUCGUUCGAUCACACAUGCUCGUACGCCUUCGCCAUCGGGAGAAAAAUAGCAAGUUUUCCAUCAGUCAAUAGCUUUCCGUUAAAUGCUACCAACCGAGCAGGAAUGUCAGGAGCGCGAUCUGAUUUCCACCCUAUAUACGCUCAAAAAGGAUCAACAAGUGGUUCUUCCCGACACACUGGGAGGGGUUGGUUAUUUUAAGAGUAUAUCGAGCGAACUCUAGGCGAGUGCCGGAGUGGCAGGGAUUAGCCGGGUGACAGUGUGAGUCACUAUGUGGUACGAUACCAUCACCCUCCUAAUGCGCAUGAGCACGAAAUUGACACCGCGUACGAACGCACGAUAGGCAGAGGGGUACCGUUGGGCCUUCAACAUUCGUUACAAGUCCCUUUUUCACCCUAGCAGUAUAACACCCCAAGGACAUGCGCGGUAUCGUGGAAGCAUCUGUUUUUACCCAAACCAACACGAACCGCUUGCCACACUCGCAGGACAUAUUGUAGCUGUUCAGUCUCUCUCACGCACCACACCGUCUCUAGCAUAAUGGGAAACAGCAUAAAGGAUACGUUACCUACAAGAGUGAAAGGGAAACCAUCUAGCAAGCCAGCCCAGCACACAUUAUUUAAAAUAAGAACUUUUUUUACGAUUAUUACAUGUGAUACUAUAAACUGAACUGUGUUUUAUUGGUUUUUAACGGCUUUCCAGUGUACAUUCAAAGUCUCUUUCGAGCGUAUACUUCGAGGAAGUUUUAUUACAUCGACCAUUUGAGGGUUUAAACCCCGUCCUAAUGGUCCCAGUUGUUUACUGUAUUUCCUUCGUUGACCGAAGCAGCCGUCACAUUAAAUUCUAGUUUGGUGAUUUUAUAUUGCUUCAAUUCGUGGAAAAAGGCUGCCGCUGUACUAUCGGAGAUAGGGAAUUUAAAUUUCAACACUCGAUCCUGACUGGAACCGUCUGUGUGGCCUUCACCGUGGCACACCGAUUGUAGUGCGGUCUACUAGGCUAGCAUGGCUCGAUGAAAGAGAGUCACCCCCGAGGGUAUCGUCUGACCAGCCAAGGAGCUGGUAGGCCGAUACGAAGAAGGUGGCACAAGUUGCGCGUUCUGCUGUGACGAUGACCAAAAUGUAUCUUCGUUUUGCCUGCCUCACAACGUAUUCUUCUCCGCCUCCUUGUUCCGCUCUUGCUGGCAUCACCGACUCACGUGGGACAUACGACCAGAGAGUGGGCAGUUCGGUUUCCACGAGACAAAACUCCGCUUCUUUGGUUAUUUUUACUGAAGACGCAAUGGCGGCGGAAUGGUGGUGAUGUGUUCCAGCCUCGUCUUAAGUGUCGAGGGACAGGAAAACAGAUCGAUACUCACAAACCGUUGACUGCGCAAAACCCGACUUCCCGUAGCCGAGCCGACGUCUGUUGCAGGAGGGUAAAUAUCUUGGAAAAGACAUUUUCCACAGUGCUUCGUAUUAUGCUUGCCAGAAGUAUGUAAAGUAUCGAUGGAGUAGGAUGCGCUUUACGUUCUUUAAUGCCCCAAUGUAACAUAUUAAAAAGCUUUACAUCUGCUUUAAACCAAAACCUAGUCAUCAAUCUCGCCUGCAACGUCUUGAACCAUUUUCCCGUCAUUAUCAAUUAAUGGAAAUUGCAUCGCGUUAAAUCCAUGAAUGAAAGGAAAAGUAAACAUAAACCCGCAUUUACUACAAUAAACAGACUAAAUCACGUUUUCAUAGCAAUCAAAAAGAAAAGGAAGGAAAGCGAAUCGAUCACAUAAACGGGUAGCAGAUAUUAAACAGACGAUGUACAACAUGAAGCAAUAAAAAGCGAAAUGGGUCAAACCAUGAAACAGCAAUGGUAAAGAGCGAGGCAAAGGAAAGCUUAAAAACCAUUACUUUCCAUCCCCUAUCACAAUAUGUUCUUCGGUUUCGCUAUUUCACUCGCAUACACACACCCAUUUGCUCCCAUCUCUAUCUCUAUUGUCGUAAGUCG
Long non-coding RNA from Anopheles coluzzii, 4470 nucleotides. RefSeq lists it as uncharacterized. NCBI's taxonomy places the organism in Eukaryota, Metazoa, Arthropoda, Insecta, Diptera, Culicidae. The record is from RefSeq and is a predicted model, not a curated record. The transcript is spliced from 2 exons.